GAACGCUUUAGCAUUUGGGUAGCAGGAAUGGUUCAUACAGCUCUGAAUGGGGAAAAAGGCUGUACCUUGACAACAAAUUGAAUAGCUGUCGCCGAGAGCAUCCAAAAGGGGUCGGGUAAUUUCCUCAGCUUUCUCCUAUCAUUAAGAAUUAUAAACAUCAAGGCUUGCAAUUUCCAGGAUCUUUGAUGUAUAAAGACCAUGCAUUCUAACCUUGUAA
Molecule: unclassified non-coding RNA, 217 nt
Filed under: Hevea brasiliensis (rubber tree)
Lineage: Eukaryota; Viridiplantae; Streptophyta; Magnoliopsida; Malpighiales; Euphorbiaceae
Source: RNAcentral